CUUGGCUCACGUGCUCUGCUGCUCCCGGAGAGGGAAGACCCAGGCGGGGGCCGUGCCCCAGUGGAGGCCUCGCCGGGCAGGCUCCUGGAGGAGCCCUGGUACCCCUUGAACAUGCAUACCUUUCCCAGAGAGAGGGACAUGGACCGCGCUGUGCGAGGGACCCCGUCUUCUGCAACAGGAGGGAACAGAGAGGAGAACUCAGGGAGAAGACCAGAGGAACCAAGCCAACUCGAUAGGCCUCAAUGGGCACUGGCAACAGCCAGUCCUGUCCACACUGCACAUGCAGAAUCUCUCAGAAGCCAACAGUGGGACCAAGUCUGAGCCAACAACCCCUUCCUUGGGUCUUCUGGCCUCUGCACCUGAAGAUGUCCAUUCCUUAGGAUGGGCGUGAGGAUGGGGAAAGACAACUUGCUUUUUGUCCAGGACAUGAGAUCUGUCCAGGUCCAGCUAAACCGCCAGCAGCAGCCUGUCUGAAAAGCCAGGAUCAGCCCUCUAUCACCUCGGGAACUUUAUUCCAAAGAAAAAGAAAAUUUCUUCUUUAACUUAGCAACAGCCUUA
Molecule: long non-coding RNA, 558 nt
Organism: Myotis daubentonii (Daubenton's bat)
Lineage: Eukaryota; Metazoa; Chordata; Mammalia; Chiroptera; Vespertilionidae
Exons: 3
Source: RefSeq, a predicted model, not a curated record